Molecule: long non-coding RNA, 623 nt
Organism: Dendrobium catenatum
Lineage: Eukaryota; Viridiplantae; Streptophyta; Magnoliopsida; Asparagales; Orchidaceae
Exons: 3
Source: RefSeq, a predicted model, not a curated record
CUAUGUUAUCAGAUGAUAACUUUGAGGAGGAGGAAUGUGAGGAUCUACGACGACUUGUGAAAGAAGGGCUCUUUAAGAGGCCUAACAUUAUGAAAAAUCAUUCCUCCAUCAAAUGACACAUGACUGAUUAAGGAUGAAUUCAAAGCCCACAUGAAUGAUUAAGAAUGAAUUCAAAGCCCAAUAUCUGAUCCCUUGGAUGAUUAUAUGCAUACCAACUCUUUAGAGGAUUCUUUGCAUCACGUGUAAGUUGAUGCAAUAUAACUCAAUCAAGCCACAAUAGCUUGCAAAAGCCCAAUUCAUUGUUAGCCAAUUAUAAGGUCCCAAACCAAGUUGCAAUUGGGCUAAAGCUAGAGUUGUAUUUAGAUUUUUUUGAUCCCACAGGCAUUUUUGGUCAAAUUUCCCUUAAUUUUUGUUUGAAUUAUUUUAUUACAUUAAUUAUUUCCUUGGAUAAUCUUAGGCUUGAUUUAGAAUGUUUAAUAGGAAUAUAUUUAUUCUUGAUUAUCAUUUGAUUUAUUUUCAAAGCAUUUGACCUUAUUUUCAUAAAUAAAGAUUUUGGCAUCUGUUUAGGUUAUUGAAGAUUUAUGUUUAUUAAAUGAAAAUUAUUUGUGUAAGGCCAAUUGAGA